AACAACAGGUUAAGCAGCAGCAUCCCUGUGCACCUGUGUGGGGGUUUUUAUUACUCCUGUGAUAUUUGGGGUUGAUCUUAAUGGGCUGGAAACAGGUCUCCUGCAGAUGAUGCUCAGCUUCAGUCAGAGCACCUUCCCAAGCUGCUGCUGCUGGGAAUGAGCCACCCUGAGGCUCCCACUCCUAAGGGAUAACGUUCCUGUGCGAGCACUGAGCUGCUGCACCCCUUUCCAAGAUUUUUCUUCUUGCCUGGCCUCAGCAGACGUGACCUCCAGUUGUUUUUGCCUUUAGAUGGCUUUUGAAAGCAAACAAGCUUUCAAUCUGGACCUGCACAGCCCCCCCUUUUCUGCGACAGUGUGAAUCCUGGUGGCACCUCUGGGGGUGAUGUUCUCUGGAGGUGGCUGGGCUGGAAGCUCCCCUGUUGGGGGAUGCUGAAAUCCAGGUGUUGGCAGGGGGUGAGAUCCCAAAUGCAGCUCCAGUGAAGGGCUGGAGUACAGCGAUGUGCUGCCCGACUCCUUCCCGUCGGCGCCGGCGGAGACGCUCCCACACUUCCUGCUGGAGCCACAGGACGCCUACAUCGUGAAGAACAAGCCCGUGGAGCUCGUGUGCCGCGCCAACCCCGCCACGCAGAUCUACUUCAAGUGCAACGGAGAGUGGGUCAACCAGAACGACCACGUCACCAAGGAGAGCCUGGAUGAGGUCACCGGGCUGCUGGUGCGGGAGGUGCAGAUCGAGGUGUCCCGGCAGCAGGUGGAGGAGCUGUUUGGCCUGGAGGAUUACUGGUGCCAGUGCGUGGCCUGGAGCUCGGCGGGCACCACCAAGAGCCGCCGGGCUUACGUCCGCAUCGCCUGUGAGUGCCACUCCCGUCUCUGAAGGCUCGCUCCUUCUCCGCUUUCUGAUCAUAUUUGG
This 907-nucleotide long non-coding RNA is filed under the name Cyanistes caeruleus (blue tit). Its description in RNAcentral is "lncRNA (ENSCCEG00000018947.1)". Lineage: Eukaryota; Metazoa; Chordata; Aves; Passeriformes; Paridae. The record is from RNAcentral.